This 494-nucleotide ribosomal RNA is filed under the name uncultured bacterium. RNAcentral's name for it is "partial 16S ribosomal RNA". It matches the Rfam family "Bacterial small subunit ribosomal RNA", at positions 28 to 507 of the family's 1533-position model. The record is from RNAcentral.
GACGAACGCUGGCGGCGCGCUUAACACAUGCAAGUCGAACGGAAAGGCCUGCUUUCCCUUGUGGAUUGCGGGUACUCGAGUGGCGAACGGGUGAGUAACACGUGAGUGAUCUGCCCCCAACUUGGGUAUAAGCCUGGGAAACUGGGUCUAAUUCCCGAUAGGACUGCAGGGUGGUGCCUGUUGUGGAAAACGAUUUUCUAGUGGUUGGGGAUGAGCUCGCGGCCUAUCAGCUUGUUGGUGGGGUAAUGGCCUACCAAGGCGGCGACGGGUAGCCGGCCUGAGAGGGUGGACGGCCACAUUGGGACUGAGAGACGGCCCAGACUCCUACGGGAGGCAGCAGUGGGGAAUAUUGCACAAUGGGCGGAAGCCUGAGGCAGCGACGCCGCGUGGGGGAUGACGGCCUUCGGGUUGUAAACUCCUUUCGACCGCGAGGAAGCCACCUGGUUGGAAGGGUGGUGACGGUAGUGGUAGAAGAAGCACCGGCUAACUACGUG